CCUACGGGAGGCUGCAGUGAGGAAUAUUGGUCAAUGGGCGCGAGCCUGAACCAGCCAAGUAGCGUGAAGGAUGACUGCCCUAUGGGUUGUAAACUUCUUUUAUAAAGGAAUAAAGUGAGGCACGUGUGCCUUUUUGUAUGUACUUUAUGAAUAAGAAUCGGCUAACUCCGUGCCAGCAGCCGAGGUAAUACGGAGGAUCCGAGCGUUAUCCGGAUAUAUUGGGGUUAAAGGGAGCGUAGAUGGGUUGUUAAGUCAGUUGUGAACGUUUGCGGCUCAACCGUAAAAUUGCAAUUGAUACUGGCAGUCUUGAGUACAGUAGAGGUAGGCGGAAUUCGUGGUGUAGCGGUGAAAUGCUUAGAUAUCACGAAGAACUCCGAUUGCGAAGGCAGCUUACUAAGCUGCCACUGACAUUGAUGCUCGAAAGUGUGGGUAUCAAACAGGAUUAGAUACCCGUGUAGUC
RNAcentral lists this ribosomal RNA (460 nucleotides) under uncultured bacterium. Its description in RNAcentral is "partial 16S ribosomal RNA". It matches the Rfam family "Bacterial small subunit ribosomal RNA", at positions 338 to 795 of the family's 1533-position model. The record is from RNAcentral.